Triticum aestivum (bread wheat) is the source of this 2437-nucleotide RNA transcript. It is a transcript of the gene named RNA-binding NOB1-like protein, with no coding region annotated. NCBI's taxonomy places the organism in Eukaryota, Viridiplantae, Streptophyta, Magnoliopsida, Poales, Poaceae. The record is from RefSeq and is a predicted model, not a curated record. The transcript is spliced from 3 exons.
UGUCACAACCUGCAGUCCUCGUCUUCUCCGGUCGACCCUCCGCCGCUCAGACACAGACGCAUGGACGCCGAAGAUCCCCUGCACCGCGCUACUCCCCUGCUCUCCCGCGCGUCCUCCGCCGCCGCCGCAGCUGCCUCCUCCGCCGCUCCCUUCUGCCUCGCGCAGCUCCCCUGACUCCCUUGCCUGCCUCGCGAAUCUUCCCUCUUUCACCCAAAAAAUUGUUUCUUCUUCCUCCCGCCGCGUCUCCUGCUCGCGGCCACCCCCUCCCUCCUAGCGUUGAUGGAAGAAGCAUGGCUGGCCCUCGGCCCGACGGCCGGCGACGCGACCUUCCCACCCCCGCCCCGGCCCCCAUGGCGUGGGGCGCGGCCGCGACGACGCAGCGGGAGACGGUGGCCAACAAAUCGUCUGCGCAGGCGGUGAGACGAAUCGUGUCCAGCUGCGCCAACUCGAGCGGCCUGGCCGUGGCCGUCGUCGACGCCAACGCUGUCAUCUCGGGCGGCGCCACGCUCUCCUCAACUGCGGGCCGGCUGGUCACGGUGCUCGAGGAGGUGUGCGACGCCGCGCGCCGGAGGCUCGCGCUCCUGCCCACCCCCGUCGAGACCGUCGAGCCAGCCCCUGAGUUCGUCAAGAGAGUAGGGCCAGCUUGAACCGUUUGCACCAGGAAGAAGACCGGCCCAAUGUUGAUGAAGGGAGGCAGCCUACAGGAUGCCCUGCAAAUCAAUUUUGAGCAAGGCAAAGCUGUUUGGAUCCUCAAAUACAUGAGUAAUUAAAAGAGCAUGUACCAUCUGCAGCAUCUCAAGAAAUUCAAAGAAAUUCAGAAUACGGUACAGCAUCUCAAGACAUCUGGCCACCUUUUGUUUUGGUCAGAUGACCAGAUUGUGCGAAAUUGUGCCCAACCACAAAGACAAAUGCACUAGCACCACAUAGUUGCAUUGACCAAAUAGACUUGUUCCAUGAGUGCUUAAUUUGCAUUGAUCAGAUAUAUUGUAAUUGCAGAAAUCUUAGGAAUAUUGUUUGUCCAAUCUUUGUGUAGAAAUUUUAUGACUAUGUGAAUUAAAGGCUUUCAACUAAGAAGAUGAUUAUUUCGACUACAUACUUCUAUCAUAUGGAGCUACAUACUCCUAUCAUAUGGAGCCAAAGUGCUCUUUUAUUUAAAUUUUAUAUGGAACCAAAUUUUAUUUAAGUUGGGUGACAAAAUAAUUCUGCAGUUCUUACUUGAGGCCUGCCAAAUCAUGUAUUAUAGUGUUGCCUAGAGCUACUGCCUGAGCUUAAAAGUCUAUUCAAGAAAACCUUUUAUAUGAAACCAAUCUUCUUCCCUUCAAAAAGUCUGUUCCUUACAGAUUAUUAAAAGAUGCUUCAGUGACUUCUGAGAGAUUAAAAGUCUCCUUGUUCAUUUUGUUAACUAGAGGAACAUGAUGGCCAUUCCUUAUAGAAACAUGGUAACUUCAACAAAAGAAACAUCAAUCAACUCUUGUACUCCUCUGCUCCCUGCUUGCUUUUUAGGCUUUCCAGUGACAUUAUAUUUUCUUUCAGAGGAGGUUGCAGUGCUCUGCUCUCUGCUUGCUUUUUAGGCUUUCAAAUAAUUCCCAAUACAUUCAGAUAAAUCUAGCUGAUUCAAAUAAUCCCAAAAUAAUUCAAAUAAAUCUAGCGAAUUCAAAUAAUUAUAGCUAAUUCCAAUAAUUCCUAAUUAAUUCAAAUAAGUCUUUUGCCUCGUUAAAAAAACUAUUUUAGCUUUGCCUCUCUAUACACGAUCGCAGAUUCCGAGUGCUGGUAAUUAGUAACAGGACAUUUUCAUCUCUUUUACUCCCUCCGUUCCAUAAGAGUAUUUCUUACACUAUAUUAUGGAACGGAGCAAGUAAGUCAGUAGUGUCGUCAGCUGCGACAAGCCAGCGACAUAGUGCUAGGAUAUGUUCAACACUGCCAUGUUUCAGUCUUGUUUUUUGCAGAACUGAAUUUACUAGCACCAUUUUGCAUCUUGCCAUUACUGUGCAAAUACCAACCUGCUCCCUGAUACUGGAGUACACCUAACAAAAUCACUGCUAUCAAGAGUGCAAAAUGGAUAUGAAUUCUCAGACUACACCAUGUUCCUGUUAAUCAUAAGAAUAAGAAUAAGGAAGAGAAGGAGAAGGAGAAGAAGGAGAAGGAGAAGGAGAAGAAUAAGAAGAGCUCCUAGCAUAGAAGAAGGAUCUCUUCUUCUUCUUACAAAUAAAUCCAAAUAAUUCAAAUAAAUUGAAUUAAAUCAAGUAAAUUCAAAGAAAAUCAAAUAAUUCACAUGACACACUCCAAUCUUUUCUCGUUGAACACCUGACACAAAGACAUACACAUGACACAACACAUGACACAUGACAUACACAAGACAUACACAUGACACAUGACAUACUCCUAUCAUUUCUUUUCAUUUCCCUUUCCUUUUCCUGAGCUCUAUUCCCCUUGUUCU